Long non-coding RNA from Glycine soja, 1231 nucleotides. RefSeq lists it as uncharacterized. The transcript is spliced from 5 exons. NCBI's taxonomy places the organism in Eukaryota, Viridiplantae, Streptophyta, Magnoliopsida, Fabales, Fabaceae. The record is from RefSeq and is a predicted model, not a curated record.
CGAAAGAGUUUUCCCUUUUAAAUUCAUUCACACUGCCUAUCUCUCACUCGCGCCCUCCCCUCCACGCCUCUCUCUCCCUUGGCCCCCACCGCCCCUGCGACCCCUUCAAUGCCGCCACCCUCCAUUUUGCUGCAAUAGUCUGGUUCCGCAACAACCUCUGCCUCCUUGACAAUGAGCAUCUAUAGAGGUACAUCAUAGAGAGUGUCUCGGAACCAAAAAAGAGUAUCAUUGUUCUGUUCCUAUUGAUGGAAAUUUUGCGGACAUCAAAAUCGAGCACUGCAUUUGCUUGCAACACCUAUUUCAAAUUCACUGCCAAUUAAAAUUGGAUUCCAUUUCCACCAAAACCUAAAUGCAAAGAGGGAGAGAGAGGUGGGGGGGAGGACCUUAGAGGGGGAAGCGGUAAGGACGGAAGAGGGAUCGGGGUCGCUGAGACAGAGAGAGGCAAUGGAGGCAACAAUUGUUUGAGUCCAAGAAGUAGAGGCGCGAGGCUUUGUCCUAUGCAAGGAGGUUCCAGGAAGCGGUGGUGGUGGUUGUACCACCGUGAGCAGUGAAGAAAGAGUGCUUGGGAAGUGGGACCCACUCAAAAGAGAGAGUGAAGAUCAUGGCCUCAUCUAGCUACUCUAACUCUCCCUAUGAUGCCUGCAAGUUCUUGAGAAGAAAAUGCAUGCUGGAUUGCAUUUUCUCCCCGUAUUUCCCUCCAAAAGAGCCUCAAAAGUUCACCAAUGUGCACAAGAUAUUUAGAGCAAGCUUCUAAAUGAGGUGCAGCCUCAUCAGAGGGAGGAUGCAGUGAACUCACUGCCCUAUGAAGCCGAGGCACGUAUAGAGGAUCUGGUCUAUGGUUGUGUUGGAGAUUUCUAUAGACUUGGAAGAGUAAAGAGGUUGAAGAAUCACCUAGUGCAAUAGGUGGCUUAAGGAAUCCUCAGGAGAGCUUAGGUGAGAAAAAAAGGAUGAGUCUGAGUUGAUGAAGAAGGUUUCAAUGAGGAGAAAAAUUUUGUCGCUCGCCUCAUGCACAUGCUUCAUAAUGAUGGACCAGACAAAAUGUUGAAGGCAACAAUAAGUGUGUUCAUAGUCAAAUUCAAUUGCACUGUUGUUUCCUCAAUUAUAUUCUCCUUUAUUAUUAUUGUAAUUUGUAAAUAAACAUGUUGUAAAUACACAUAUAUAAAACAUAUAAUCUUUUAUUUUAUUUAUAACUUUUUAAUUAUAUUUAAAUAAAGAUAAAAUGAUUCUAGGU